RNAcentral lists this long non-coding RNA (332 nucleotides) under Hordeum vulgare. RNAcentral describes it as "long non-coding RNA (HVUL_LNC007145)". Lineage: Eukaryota; Viridiplantae; Streptophyta; Magnoliopsida; Poales; Poaceae. The record is from RNAcentral.
GACGAAGAACAAAACGAGGAGAGACGACAAGAAGAAAGAAGAGGAAAACGGAAAACAAGGAAGAAGACGAAGAAGAAGAAGAAGAGGAAAAAGCAAAAGAAAUAAGAAGAAGAAGUAGUAGUAGUAGUAGUAGUAGUAGUAGUAGUAGUAGAAGAAGAAGAAGAAGAAGAAGAAGAAGAAGAAAAGGAAGAAGAAGAAGAAGAAGAAGAAAGGGAAGAAGAGGAAAAAAAUAAGAGGAGGAAGAAUAAAACGACACCUUGACACCCCGACACGACACCCCGAUAACCCAAGACGACGCCCCGACACCCCGACACGACGCCCUCACACGACAU